AGGGUUAACAGGUCUCAGAGUUCACAGCAGAGUCAAACUACAGACCACAGCAGCAACCAGCUGGAAGAUCAAUACAACACAUACGCUUCUCCGUUCCAAGGUGAAUCUGAUAAUGUGACAUAUUCUUCAAUCAAACUUGAAAAGGUCAAAAAUGUGAAGAAGAAGAAGGAACCAGAAGAGAGCACUGUUUAUGCUGAUGUGAAGACCACAUCAUCUCAAGAUGAUGAAGUGACCUAUGCUCAAGUAAUCCCCAGUAAAUGUAAAGCAAAAGGAAAGAAAGGUACGA
Long non-coding RNA from Salarias fasciatus (jewelled blenny), 286 nucleotides. RefSeq lists it as uncharacterized. NCBI's taxonomy places the organism in Eukaryota, Metazoa, Chordata, Actinopteri, Blenniiformes, Blenniidae. The record is from RefSeq and is a predicted model, not a curated record. The transcript has 4 exons.